GUCCUUUUCCACCCUUUUCUGAGAAGAAAAAGCUUAAAGAGGAAACAUAAGAACCUAGAUCUGACAUUGCGAAGGCAGACUGGAUCCCUUUCAGAAGAACCCCUGCCAGAGCCAUUCUCAGGCAAGCAAGAGGAGGAAACUGAGUUUGAGAGAGGACGUGAUUUGCCCACAGCCACACACCAUGUUAGUAUCUGGUGUGAGAUUUGAACUCAAGUCUUCCUCAUUCCACAUCCAUCUCCAUAUCCA
This is a long non-coding RNA of Trichosurus vulpecula (common brushtail), 246 nucleotides long. RefSeq lists it as uncharacterized. The transcript has 4 exons. The record is from RefSeq and is a predicted model, not a curated record. Lineage: Eukaryota; Metazoa; Chordata; Mammalia; Diprotodontia; Phalangeridae.